RNAcentral lists this transfer RNA (57 nucleotides) under Skeletonema dohrnii. Lineage: Eukaryota; Bacillariophyta; Thalassiosirophyceae; Thalassiosirales; Thalassiosiraceae. The record is from RNAcentral.
UUGCGAUGAAUUGGGCUUUAUGAUGGCUUCAGCUGACAUCGUCUUCUCAAAGAUGAU